GUUUGAUCCUGGCUCAGAUUGAACGCUGGCGGCAGGCCUAACACAUGCAAGUCGAACGGAACCUUCGGGUUUAGUGGCGAACGGGUGAGUAAUGCCUAGGAAUCUGCCUAUUAGUGGGGGAUAACGAAUCGAAAGGUUCGCUAAUACCGCAUACGUCCUACGGGAGAAAGAGGGGGAUCUUCGGACCUCUUGCUAAUAGAUGAGCCUAGGUCGGAUUAGCUAGUUGGUGAGGUAAAGGCUCACCAAGGCGACGAUCUGUAGCUGGUCUGAGAGGAUGGCCAGCCACACUGGAACUGAGACACGGUCCAGACUCCUACGGGAGGCAGCAGUGGGGAAUAUUGGACAAUGGGCGCAAGCCUGAUCCAGCCAUGCCGCGUGUGUGAAGAAGGCCUCGGGUUGUAAAGCACUUUAAGCGAGGAGGAAGGUCAUCAUACUAAUAUUAUGAUGAAUUGACGUUACUCGCAGAAUAAGCACCGGCUAACUCUGUGCCAGCAGCCGCGGUAA
This 504-nucleotide ribosomal RNA is filed under the name uncultured bacterium. RNAcentral's name for it is "bacterial SSU rRNA". It matches the Rfam family "Bacterial small subunit ribosomal RNA", at positions 11 to 523 of the family's 1533-position model. The record is from RNAcentral.